AGACAGCAGUCGCCACGGUAAUACAGAGGGUGCGAGCGUUAAUCGGAUUUACUGGGCGUAAAGCGUGUGUAGGCGGCUUCUUAAGUCGGAUGUUAAAUCCCUGAGCUUAACUUAGGAAUUGCAUUCGAUACUGGGAAGCUAGAGUAUGGGAGAGGAUAGUAGAAUUCUAGGUGUAGCGGUGAAAUGCGUAGAGAUCUGGAGGAAUACCAAUGGCGAAGGCAGCCAUCUGGCCUAAUACUGACGCUGAGAUACGAAAGCAUGGGGAGCAAACAGGAUUAGAUACCCCAGUAGUCCCUGUCUCUUAUAC
RNAcentral lists this ribosomal RNA (307 nucleotides) under uncultured bacterium. Its description in RNAcentral is "partial 16S ribosomal RNA". It matches the Rfam family "Bacterial small subunit ribosomal RNA", at positions 506 to 807 of the family's 1533-position model. The record is from RNAcentral.